This 22-nucleotide microRNA is filed under the name Apis mellifera (honey bee). RNAcentral's name for it is "ame-miR-6065-3p". The record is from miRBase by way of RNAcentral. Lineage: Eukaryota; Metazoa; Arthropoda; Insecta; Hymenoptera; Apidae. RNAcentral also lists the same sequence under 1 other name.
CUGGAAUGCGAUCCCCCCGGUA